RNAcentral lists this ribosomal RNA (229 nucleotides) under uncultured bacterium. RNAcentral describes it as "partial 16S ribosomal RNA". It matches the Rfam family "Bacterial small subunit ribosomal RNA", at positions 568 to 796 of the family's 1533-position model. The record is from RNAcentral.
UCCGUAGGCGGGUAAUUAAGUCAGAGGUGAAAUCCCACAGCUUAACUGUGGAACUGCCUUAGAUACUGGUUAUCUUGAGUUUUAGUGAAGUAGAUAGAAUGUGUAGUGUAGCGGUGAAAUGCAUAGAUAUUACACAGAAUACCGAUUGCGAAGGCAGUCUACUAACUAACAACUGACGCUAAUGGACGAAAGCGUGGGGAGUGAACAGGAUUAGAUACCCUGGUAGUCC